CAGCCGCCGCGGUAAUACGAAGGUCCCGAGCGUUGUUCGGAAUCACUGGGCGUAAAGGGAGCGUAGGCGGCGUGGUAAGUCAGAUGUGAAAUCCCGGGGCUCAACCCCGGAACUGCAUCCGAUACUGCCAUGCUAGAGGAUUGGAGAGGUAGCUGGAAUUCUUGGUGUAGCAGUGAAAUGCGUGGAGAUCAAGAGGAACACUCGUGGCGAAAGCGAGCUACUGGACAAUAACUAACGCUGAGGCUCGAAGGCCAGGGUAGCGAAAGGGAUUAGAUACCCGCGUAGUCCCUGUCUCUUAUAA
Molecule: ribosomal RNA, 301 nt
Filed under: uncultured bacterium
Lineage: Bacteria
Description: partial 16S ribosomal RNA
Rfam family: Bacterial small subunit ribosomal RNA
Source: RNAcentral